RNAcentral lists this long non-coding RNA (7049 nucleotides) under Sus scrofa (pig). RNAcentral describes it as "lncRNA (ENSSSCG00025036320.1)". The record is from RNAcentral. Lineage: Eukaryota; Metazoa; Chordata; Mammalia; Artiodactyla; Suidae.
GUUAAGGAUCCAGCAUCGUCACUGCAGUGGCCUGGGUCACUGCUGAGGUGUGGGUUUGACCGCUGUUUCAGGAAUUUCCAUCAUGGGUGUGCCCCCCUCCAAAAAGAAGAAAAUAACGCCAUUUGCAGCAACAUGGAUGGACCUAGAGAUUAUCAUACUAAAUCAGAAAGAGAAAGAUAGAUAUCAUAUGAUAUCACUUACAUGUGGAAUAUAAACAAUGAUACUUAUAAUCUAAACUUAUUUGCAGAAUAGAAACAGACUCACAGACACAGAAAAUAAAUUAUGGUUACCAAAGGGGAAAUGUGGUGGAGGAAGGAUAAAUUGGGAGUUUGAGAUUAACACAUACACACUACUAUAUAUAUAUAUAAAAUAGAUAACCAUCAUGGACCUACUGUAGAGCACAGAGAACUCUUCUCAAUAUUCUGUAGUAAGUUAUAUGAGAAAAGAAUCUGAAAAAAGUGGAUAUACGAAUAUGUAUAAGUGAAUCACUUUGCUAUACACCUGAAACUAACAACAUUGUAAGUCAACUAUAAUAUAAAAUAAAAAUUACUUCACUCAGUAUGAGAGUUUCUGGUUCCAUCCAUGUUGCUGCAAAUGGCAUUAUUUUGUUCUUUUUUAUGGCUGAGUAGUAUUCCACUGUGUAUAUAUACCACAUCUUCCUAAUCCAAUCAUCUGUCGAUGGACAGUCACUUACGAUGGAGCAUGACAAUGUGAGAAAAUAGAAUGUAUACAUGUAUGUGUAACUGGGUCACCAUGCUGUACAGUAGAAAAAAAAAUGUACUGGGGAAUAACAAUUAAAAAAAAUAAAAUAAAAAUUAAACAAAAAAAAAUUUUCGUCGUUAAGGUGACAGAUAAAUAUUUUUAGACACUGCAAAUACUACAGAGCAUACAGCUUAAGGAAGUAAUCUGUGUUAAAAAGCUGUCCUAAAAGAGGUAGGUUUUGAUGCAGCUGAAAGUGGAAGAGAGUGGUAUAUGAAAAGAUAUAUUGCUGAGUCAGCGUAAUUCCUACAAGGAUGACAGGAGUUUGAAUAACACACGGAAUUCCAGAUGAAAGUUCCCUUUCUCAUUGGGCUUGAAGCACAGAUUUAUCCAAUCCAUCUUCAUAUCCAUAGCAACCAGCACAGUGCCAGGCACAAUAAAUGGGCUAUAAAUGUCUGGUAAAUUAAUGCAUGAAAAUUUAAUUGUUGCAGGAUCACUAUAUCUAAUAAAAAGUUAACUAGUGUAUUUCUAACUUUCUUCUAUCUUGGUAUAAGGGUUUCUUCCCCCUUCCCCUAUUGUCUGCUGCUGAACUUUUUGAGUUUAUGACAAAGUCGAGGGGUGAAUGCCCAGAUUAUUAUUAUUUGCACAUCUGUAAAGUUCCAUUUGACUCAUGGGGGUGUGUGAUAUCAGAAUGAUAAUGUACUUUGAUCCCUUCCCAGUGGAGAGGCUAUGUCAACGCUUAAGAGAGAUAAUAAUACCACCAACGUGUAUUUAAAAGCUUUUUGUUAUUGGAUGGACAUUAAGGUUCUCAGAGACCUUCCAGAUCAUUUAUGUUCCAUGGGGAUCUUCUCUAUAAAAAAUUCAACUUAUCCAGAGUUUUAUUCCCCAAGUCAAAGUAACAAUUGCCACAACCCUUUCUUGUCUGAAUCCAAACCUUACAUAAUAUAACCUCCCAAUCUAAAGAGGCAAUCACGACAAUUUCACUACAAUUCGAAGGUCAUACAUAGCGCAGAGCAGAAAUAGGAGUAGAACAAUCAUUCUUUAGAGGGGAGAAAAUAUGGAAGCCUUUCCCUCCGUGUGACCUUGCAAGUCUCCAUAGUAACUGCGUGCUAAUUGGCAAACGGUGCAUCCUCAGAGGAGGGGCGACAGCUCCCUGACCUCCAGGCCCAUGAGCGCCACCUAGUGAGAAAAUUUCUCUUCAAAACUCUUCAAACAAAACACCCUCAACUUGUCUCACGUCACUUGCCCUUGAAAAAGGAUUAAGUUCACGCGGACAGGUAUAUAAUUUUAAAUAUUUUAACCAAGAACCCUAAUUUAGGAGUCAAAAGACUAGAGCUAGUUAAAGAAACUGAGAGUUAGGAAAUUUAAAAAUUCAAUCAACACUUUGUAUCGCAAUUUAAGAUUUCUUUUCACUCCUAUAUAUUUUCAAAAGCCCUGAUAAUAUGUUAUUUUUCAAAUAUAAAGAAAAAUUUCAAAACGCUGGAAGAAAACACAAGAGGUGUGGAUGAGUAGGUGAGAAUAGGGUGCAGGGGGACAGUAGCGAGGUCUUUCACUAUGUGCUAUGUUGUUUAUUUCAAACCACAUGCCUGUAUUGCUGAUCAAUAAAUUAGAUUUAAAAAGAACAGUCAGCAUAUAUUCAUAUGGCAAGCAGCUGUGUAGUUUCAGCAAAAGCAGUAUCACUUUGUCACAUUAAAUUUAACUUGCUAAAUUUAAAAAUAAUGCAUCCUCGUGAGGUCAAAGGACUUUCGCCAUGUAAAAGUACUUGUCUGCAAAACAUAAGUAGUACACAUAGAAACUUCAUCUCAGUCACACACACACACACACACACACACACACACACACACACACACACACACACACCCCUCCUCUGAGUUUCUUACAUCGUACGUAGGCACACAUCUCAGCUACUGAUUUUUUAAAAAACACUUAUGUCAAUGGUACUCAACUUCCCUGAACAAGCUCUACCAAGUACUUUACCUAAUUUGAUCCUUGGACAUACUAACUAAAAAAGUAAGUGGAUGUUAAAAGCUACAAAGCAAAGCUCAAAGGAUGCGUCCUUCAGGUUGCCACAAUGGCUGAAAGAAGACUUCCAUUUUUCUUCUGCAACUUAGAAAAGACGCAUGGAAGCCUAAGUCAAAUGCAGCUUACUGUAGUGACAAAGACACAGACACAGACCUAAAAACAUCAGGCUGGCCUUGUCCAUGUUCCUGGGAUUCCGGGCCACCCGUCAGUGUGUUCACGCCUCCCAUCACACCACUAAAUGUAUGACAACUUGCUUUGAGGUUAUUUUAUAACAAACUUAACUGUCUGGUUGAAAAAAAAAAAAGUAAAAGUAGAAUACCAUGUAGUCCUGAAGAUAUUUUGCCUUUUAUUUGUGAUUGAAUUUUGUCUGUCUACAGAUCAAUUUAGGAUUAGGUCAAAGACCCUGGAGACUCCACAACUGUUCCCACAAAAUUAAAACAGAGAGAGCUUCGAGCAAAACUGAACAGCUUCUGCUAAGCAAGUGGGUGGAGUUUUUUUUUUUUUCAAGUUCCUUUUGGGAUUUUGAAUCAGAUCUUCAGUGAAUAAAAACCACAGCACGACCAUAUUUUAGUUUGGACGAAUAUUUGGGAAAAAUGCAUUUCUGUCCUAUUGAAAGCAUAACAAUAGAAAAUAAAAAUACAGGUUUGGGAUUUUGCAUAUUUUAGCUAUAUUUAGAGAUUGUGACCUCGACCUCAUCGAAUCUUAAUAGCAUUUGUUGGUGUACCUAAUGUCAAAUAUAAGUACUAUCUUUAUAUUAUACAAACGAAUAAAAUGUAGAAAAUAUUAACUUCAGCAAUUAUUAUAUGACAUGUUCACAUUUUUCCCUUACUUAUAUUCCCUUCAAGAAUUACACUGAACAGAGGCUGAUAGCUAAAAAAAAAAAAAGUUGAAGUGACGGUGUUUGGAGAUUUUAGAUACAUGCAUGUCUAUCUUUUAUUAUAUAAGCUUGUAAUUUUUGCAAAAAACUAUAAAAUGGGUAGAAUCAGUGAUAAGAUCAUUAUCCUGUAAAAAUGUACUAAAAUGAGCGAUUUUUAUUUAACCGACAGUUGGUUUUAGCAUUAUUUUUAAAAGGGGGAAAUAUGUACAACUGCCACUGCUGAAUGAUAUCCAAUUUACAGCCCUCGUCACAUGGCUACAAAGCUAAAAAGAAGUGAAAUUGAACCAUCCUCCAGUAAAUUAAACUCAUGCCAAUAUCCCAUCAAAACUGUUGGUCCAACCAUUCUCUUCAUUUCCUCUGAGUUGAUCCAACCCUAACCUGUGUGUCCUGAAAUUGUUCUUAGAUCAACAGCCAGGAUCCAACAUUUAGUAAUGGAUCAUUAAAUAGGGGGGGAACCCCACAAAUCAAUCAGAACUUGAUCGUGGAUUCUCAAUUAGAAAAUAUUCUUCUUGCUAGAGCUAUCAGCAGUAUGAGAAAAAUCUUUGCUAUGCCUGUAUCUCUGUGAUUUUGAAGUUAUUAUUUUCUCGCAAAGUGUAAGCCAUUUGGUUACUUAGUUCUUACAGCUGAGGAGAACCUAACAUUCUCCAUUAAAUAUUAUAACACUUUUCUUUUAAAAAAAAUACUGUAUAAGACAUAUUUUACCACUUACUGGAGGGGUUCACAUGUCCAACUGAAGGAACUAUUUACAGCUCACUCUCUAAUUAAUGGAGAGGAACGCUGAUUGUUUCAACUUGACCAUUUAAACAACUGAAUUGGGGUUAAUAACACUUCUAUUCAGAAUUCUACCUUAGAACAAACAGCAGCUCUAUUAGCAAGAUUAUUUGAAUUAGAUAAAGCUCUGGUUCAUAUACAGUUCCUUGAACAUCUACUUUCAAAGAUGUAAUUACAUACCACAUGAUCUGAGGUAUUUCAACACUAUACCCUCAACAGAUUCUGUGAAAAUUCCAUUAACUUCCUGAAGAAUCUCAUUUUUCUCUGUAAACCUGUUUAAAUCAUUAGCUCUUCAAUCAAACAAAUUAACUAGAAAUAAAGCAAGACAAGGAAAUCUUCUCAGUUAGACUUUCCCUUCUCCAUUCAUUUAUUCAUUCAUCCAUUCAAUGCAUCAAUAUUUAUUGUCUAAUAAGUGCCAGGCACUGGGUAUUAUAAUAGCAAACAAGAGGCAUAAUCUCUGCCUUCAUGGGGAAAACAGACUUGAAUCAAAUAAACACAAAAAUAAAAAUCUAGUUACAAAGCAGGCAAUGUGAAUGAGGUGAUGGAGGAGGGGGUGGCCUGGAGGAGAUUAAUAGACUACCCUACUUUGGCUGGGGCUUAGAGGGUGUGUCUUUGAGGAAGUGGCACUUAAAGCACCUGAAGGAUGGAGUUCCCGUCGUGGCGCAGCGGUUAACGAAUCCGACUAGGAACCAUGAGGUUGCUGGUUCGAUCCCUGCCCCUGCUCAGUGGUGUAGGUUGCAGACACGGCUCGGAUCCCGCGUUGCUGUGGCUCUGGCGUAGGCCAGCGGCUACAGCUCCGAUUAGACCCCUAGCCUGGGAACCUCCAUAUGCCACGGAAGUGGCCCCAAAAAAUAGCAAAAAGACAAAAAAUAAAAUAAAAUAAAGCACCUGAAGGAUGAACCCGAGGCAGCCCGGUGAUGAGUGAGGCAGGAUGGGCUUUCAAUAAACAACAGAUAAUUUUUUAGUGUAAGUCUGCGAUAUUUGGGACAUGCUUCAGCUAAGAAAGUUUUGUUGUUUCUCUGAAACCUGAAUUUAAUUGGGCAUCCUGCAUUUCAUCUGACAAUGCCAGGUGGGUAUCUGAGGCAGGUGAGAAGGCCCUGACGUGGGCCAGGUUCCCACCACUUGGGAGGAGGUGAGGCGGCUGACAUGAGGUGAUGGAAGGGGGAGUCGGUGAGUUGAGACUGGGGAGCCAAGAGCCCAAGAUUUCUGUACGGCCUGUAGGUAUCAUUCUUUCAUGCCUUCGAUUUUACCUGGAGCAAAGUUUGGCAGCACACUAACCAAAGGCUAAUUUCAAUUUGAUAUCUUUUCAAUUAACACAAAAACCUGAGAAACAUGCUCAGCAAAUAUGUGAGCUGUGAAUUCCAAGGAGAUUUGCUUAUUUUCUUGAAAGACAAGCUUAUGAGGCAUCAGUGGAUAAACCUAUAGAUGCCCAGUCUCUGCUUUCCACUUGGCUAUUUCAUCCUGAAUUGGCUGAGUCUGACAUCGUACUUGCAGGGGUCCUGAAAGGUGCUGUCUGGGACACUAUUGCACUGGGGGCUGAGGGGUCCUGCAGCAGCAUGUGGUUCAACUCUUGCCUAUUCAAUGCCAUCCACUUCAGCCCCCUCAGCAAGUCUCACAUAAACCUCCCUGAGUAGUACAGGUGAUUUAGCCUUUUCUGAUCUCCGAGUCAAGUAAACACGCCUAGCUUCUGUUUUAUAAUUUUCUACUAGGUGUUGAAAUUAUAUAAUUACACAACCUCCCCUGCUGUCUUUCUCCCACCUUCCCCAAAAGUGUGUACAAGUGUCAAAAAGUUUAUCCUAUAUUUCAAAUUCAUUAACAGUUAGCUAGUAGCUUUUUAAAAAAAUUUUUUAUUAAAGUAUUUACAAUGUUGUGUCAAUUUCCACUGUACAGUGAAGUGACCCAGUCAUGUAUGUGUAUAUAUAUAUAUACAUAUACACACAUUCUUUUUCUUAUACUAUCUAUUUAUGAGAUCUAUUAUUUAAUUUUAUAUUAAAUAAUAUCACAAAGUCUUUUGGUCCCAACACUGAAAUAUGCUAGAAAAUAAUAGAAAAUUCUACAAAGAAUUAAGCUAUUUCCACCUUGCAAAGAACUAAAAUACUCUCAAGCUGCUACAAAAUCUCCUGGCCUGUCAGAUGUGUAUAUGCCUGCCUCUUCUGGAAUUCACGCACUCAAUACAGAUAAAGCUCCCUGGAAUUCCUGUCGUGGCUCAGUGCUUAAUGAACCCAACUAGUAUCCAUGAGAUUGCAGGUUCGAUCCCUGGCCUCGCUCAGUGAGAUGAGGAUCUGGCGUUGCCAUGAGCUGUGGUGUAGGUCGCAGAUGCGGCUUGGAUCUGGUGUUGCUGUGGCUGUGGCACAGGACGGCAGCUACAGCUCCGAUUCAACCCCUAGCCUGGGAACCUCCAUGUGCUUCGAGUGAGGCCCUAAAAAGACACACACACACACACACACACACACACACAAAAUAAGCUCCCACCAUGGGCCACACAAAGUAUUUCUGGCACUUUCAAAUACAGCUUUAUUAAAUUUACUAAAUAACUCAUGCAUUGAGGGUCUAUCAGGUUGAAAACCAAGCACAGUAACAAAUUCUAUGGGUACUUAUUAGAUCAUAUUUAGAAAUAAAGAUGAAAUAAUACUGGAAAUUCAAAGAAUCCCUAAAAAAACAGAGUUUAAAUAGUUAUGAG